GGGCCCGUAGCUCAGUUGGUUAGAGCGCUACCUUGACACGGUAGAGGUCUCCAGUUCGAGUCUGGGCGGGCCCACCA
Molecule: transfer RNA, 77 nt
Filed under: Acidobacteriota bacterium
Lineage: Bacteria; Pseudomonadati; Acidobacteriota
Also listed under: 3 other names
Description: tRNA-Val
Rfam family: tRNA
About the family: Transfer RNA (tRNA) molecules are approximately 80 nucleotides in length. Their secondary structure includes four short double-helical elements and three loops (D, anti-codon, and T loops).
Source: RNAcentral